RNAcentral lists this small nucleolar RNA (139 nucleotides) under Setaria italica (foxtail millet). Its description in RNAcentral is "Small nucleolar RNA Z247". It matches the Rfam family "Small nucleolar RNA Z247". Rfam says of the family: Z247 is a member of the C/D class of snoRNA which contain the C (UGAUGA) and D (CUGA) box motifs. Most of the members of the box C/D family function in directing site-specific 2'-O-methylation of substrate RNAs. Lineage: Eukaryota; Viridiplantae; Streptophyta; Magnoliopsida; Poales; Poaceae. The record is from Rfam by way of RNAcentral.
CCACUCGACGAUGAAGGAGUUGCCUCCUACAUCAUCAACGGGUUGGACUCUGAGUUCAAUCCGUAGGCAUCAUCGGUGAUGGCAAGGGCGGAACCAGUCUCAAUCUCUGAACUCUACUCUCAGAUGCUCAGCUUUGAGA